CACCACUCGCAACCGGCUUUGCUGGAUGCGGCGUUGGGGAUCGGCUCCCGCAAGGGUGCCGCCCCCGAAAUGGAGUGGCGGUCUCGCUGUGACCUCCUCUGCGUAGUAACUUCUUUCUCGCAGGCGGAUAGCAGCGCGGCCACGCCGUAAAACACCCAACCUUUCUUAU
Molecule: unclassified non-coding RNA, 169 nt
Filed under: uncultured Ascomycota
Lineage: Eukaryota; Fungi; Ascomycota
Description: sequence contains ITS2
Source: RNAcentral